Molecule: unclassified non-coding RNA, 102 nt
Organism: Otolemur garnettii (small-eared galago)
Lineage: Eukaryota; Metazoa; Chordata; Mammalia; Primates; Galagidae
Rfam family: Y RNA
About the family: Y RNAs are components of the Ro ribonucleoprotein particle (Ro RNP), in association with Ro60 and La proteins. The Y RNAs and Ro60 and La proteins are well conserved, but the function of the Ro RNP is not known.
Source: Ensembl
UGCUAGUCCAAGUGCAGUGGUAUGUACAACUAAUUGGUCACAACCAGUUACAGAUUCCUUUGGUCCUUUUCCAUUCCCAUUGCUUCUCUUGACUAGCCUUUA